Molecule: long non-coding RNA, 1215 nt
Filed under: Dendronephthya gigantea
Lineage: Eukaryota; Metazoa; Cnidaria; Anthozoa; Malacalcyonacea; Nephtheidae
Description: uncharacterized LOC114520785, transcript variant X1
Source: RNAcentral
CGGGGUGUUAAAUUUUGGUGCUAUUUUGACACCACUUUUAGAGUUAUAUUAACUCCUCGGUGGAGUAACGAGGUCUUCGAACGUUGAUUAGUAUGCAAAAAUAAUCCCAUCUAGAGGGUUAGAGAAAUUAACUCCAUUUUUGGAGUUAAAUUCCUCUCAUUAUAUAUUCAUAAUGGAGAUUUGAAAACAAGGAGUGAAGAUUGGUGAUGCACAUCGCGUUAAUGAUAAUUUUUAUUGAAAUUGAACAAAAUCUUGUAUUAAUUGAAAUCAUUUACUACAUCAGAAUACGUGAUGAAAAGAUUGCCUCGGAUAGUUCUGUUGAUUUUAAAAUCAAGACAAACUGAGUCAACUAAUCAAGAAAAAGAAAACCUCAUGAUGUGGGUUGAAUUGCCAGGGACACCUAUGCUAAGACUUCAGGUCUUUAUACAGCUCAGUGGCCGGGUCUUUCUUGGCGAAAUAUUUGCAAAGUACACACGAAGCCCUCGCUUGCUCCGUAAAAAGUUCUCUUUCUCGGUACUUUUCAUUCGAAAAUUGUAAACUUAGUAGAGGACUUGCGAUUUUGGAUGCGAAAAGCUGGAUUUGGCGACUAGUGCGAGCUAUUUUAAGAAGCAGUAGAAGGAGUCCACAAUGCCCGGUAGAGGGUAGAAGAAGCAAUGCCAAUGGGAAACUCAAACACAAAUUUCAAUACAAGAAAGCCCUAACCAGGCCCUAACCUAGCGAAACGAUGUUGAAAACAACCCCAAAAUAACUGUUCAAUUCUCAAUGGACGAAGCAACUUACCAUGAUGCAGUAAAUCUAGAUUGAAGACUUGUUUCGUGCAAUUGGCACAACAGGAAACCUCCGAAAAUUUUACUACGAGGAAAAUUGUAAAAGAAGAAACGUGGAUCAGUAUUGCUUAUACAGCCAAGUCAUCAUCUUGGUAGAGUGAGUCUUAGCUUAGUAGAACUCUAGUAGAACUGAACAACCAGUGUCUUAAUGACUAUACCAUUAUGUUUUAGGCAUGCAUGGUACUCCACUUAAAAACAUUUUCUAAGUUUUUUGCAAAUGUGCAUGUGUGUUAAAGUGUAAAUAAAAAGUAUUAAAGAGCUAUACUAUAGAAGCAAUUCCUUUAAUGCGUAGUUGACUUGCUGUACUCAAACAGAAAUGUAAUUGAUCUCAUGUAUUCAAUAUUAUAAUAAUAUAAUAACGAUAUUUGUGCUGCAUUGUUUGUUGACU